Molecule: long non-coding RNA, 260 nt
Organism: Mycetomoellerius zeteki
Lineage: Eukaryota; Metazoa; Arthropoda; Insecta; Hymenoptera; Formicidae
Exons: 3
Source: RefSeq, a predicted model, not a curated record
AGACAGAAAAAAGAUGAAUCUUUUCUCGUGAGAUACACACGAGUAAAGUGUACAAGCGUGGCUGUAAGCGACUAAAGAAAGUUUCGCAAGGAGAGAAAAUAGAUUUUGUCUUAUGCAUAGAUACAUGGAGUCACUCAGCUGUCAUCUUCGGCCUCGCUUGGAGGAUCUUCGACCAAAUUCUUUAUAGUGUUAUCUUGAUUGAGUUCCUCUUCGUCGUCAGUAUCGUCAUCGGCACCCGGAUGAACGGAAACCUUAUGCGU